GACGAACCGUGCGAACGUUGUUCGGAUUCACUGGGCUUAAAGGGCGCGUAGGCGGGCAACUAAGUCGGACGUGAAAUCCCCAGGCUUAACUUGGGAACUGCGUCCGAUACUGGAUGGCUUGAAUCCGGGAGAGGGAUGCGGAAUUCCAGGUGUAGCGGUGAAAUGCGUAGAUAUCUGGAGGAACACCGGUGGCGAAGGCGGCAUCCUGGACCGGUAUUGACGCUGAGUGAGCGAAAGCCAGGGGAGCAAACGGG
This 254-nucleotide ribosomal RNA is filed under the name uncultured bacterium. RNAcentral's name for it is "partial 16S ribosomal RNA". It matches the Rfam family "Bacterial small subunit ribosomal RNA", at positions 524 to 776 of the family's 1533-position model. The record is from RNAcentral.